RNAcentral lists this ribosomal RNA (460 nucleotides) under uncultured bacterium. RNAcentral's name for it is "SSU rRNA". It matches the Rfam family "Bacterial small subunit ribosomal RNA", at positions 26 to 518 of the family's 1533-position model. The record is from RNAcentral.
AGAAUCAACGCUGGCGGCGUGCCUAACACAUGCAAGUCGAACGAGAAAGUGGGAGCAAUCCCACGAGUAAAGUGGCGCACGGGUGAGUAACACGUGACUAACCUACCCUUGAGUGGGGGAUAACCUAGGGAAACCUGGGCUAAUACCGCAUAAUACCUACGGGUCAAAGGAGCAAUUCGCUUAAGGAGGGGGUCGCGGCAGAUUAGUUAGUUGGCGGGGUAAUGGCCCACCAAGACAGUGAUCUGUAUCCGGCCUGAGAGGGCGCACGGACACACUGGAACUGAAACACGGUCCAGACUCCUACGGGAGGCAGCAGUGGGAAUUUGCGCAAUGGGGGAAACCCUGACGCAGCAACGCCGCGUGGAGGAUGAAGCCCCUUGGGGCGUAAACUCCUUUCGAUCGGGAAGAUAAUGACGGUACCGGAAGAAGAAGCCCCGGCUAACUUCGUGCCAGCAGCCGC